UAUUUUGAGCCAUGAGAAUUCCUAAACUCUCUCUCUUUAUGUUCAUUGUUGUCAUUCUAGCUUUACUUCAUGUUUCUGGUUGCCUGCGGCACAUCACUGGGUGCUGUACUAGCAGUGAAGAAGUUCAAGAAAUGAAUUCCGAACCGAUAGUAAGAGCCGGGGCUUCUACUGAAUUUAGGCCUCAGGGUGCUGGUUCCCAUUCUGCAGGAUAUCGAUUUAAGAAGACAAACCAAGUAAGCGCUGUUUCUCAUAAAGCUGUCCCUACUGGACCAAACCCUCUUCACAAUUAAGUGGAUUUACAGGAAACAUUGGUGUUUUCAGAUAAGUGUGCAAUGUGAUGUGUUGUUUUCAGUUCAUGGAACAACAAAAUUAUCAGAUACACAGAUUAGUAGAGUACUUGAAAUUUGACAAGUUAUAUACUAAUGUGAUGUUUUGUUUUCAGUUCAUGGAAGAUCAGACACACAGAUUAUUAGACUACUUGAAAGUUGAUAUAUACUGGUUUGAGUUCUACUUUGUGGAAUGCACUAGUGAAGUUUUUCUGUUUUUUCUUCAUAAACAGUUCAUGUAAGUUAAUUUUAUUUUGAUCAAGAGCUCAUGUAUGGUGUUGGAGAAACAAUUACCAAAGUCAAUUAUGUAAGCUUUUGGCAUUCUAUUCAAUUAUGCAAAC
RNAcentral lists this long non-coding RNA (667 nucleotides) under Fragaria vesca (wild strawberry). Its description in RNAcentral is "long non-coding RNA (FVES_LNC003940)". The record is from RNAcentral. Lineage: Eukaryota; Viridiplantae; Streptophyta; Magnoliopsida; Rosales; Rosaceae.